CCUACGGGUGGCUGCAGUGAGGAAUAUUGGUCAAUGGGCGCGAGCCUGAACCAGCCAAGUAGCGUGAAGGAUGACUGCCCUACGGGUUGUAAACUUCUUUUAUAAAGGAAUAAAGUGAGGCACGUGUGCCAUUUUGUAUGUACUUUAUGAAUAAGGAUCGGCUAACUCCGUGCAAGCAGCCGAGGUAAUACGGAGGCUCCGAGCGUUCUCCGGAUUUAUUGGGUUUAAAGGGAGCGUAGAUGGGUUGUUAAGUCAGUUGUGAAAGUUUGCGGGUCAACCGUAAAAUUGCAAUUGAUACUGGCAGCCUUGAGUACAGUUGAGGUAGGCGGAAUUCGUGGUGUAGCGGUGAAAUGCGUAGAUAUCACGAAGAACUCCGAUUGCGAAGGCAACCUACUAAACUGCCACUGACAUUGAUGCUCGAAAGUGUGGGUAUCAAACAGGAUUAGAUACCCUAGUAGUC
This 460-nucleotide ribosomal RNA is filed under the name uncultured bacterium. RNAcentral describes it as "partial 16S ribosomal RNA". It matches the Rfam family "Bacterial small subunit ribosomal RNA", at positions 338 to 795 of the family's 1533-position model. The record is from RNAcentral.